RNAcentral lists this ribosomal RNA (274 nucleotides) under uncultured bacterium. Its description in RNAcentral is "partial 16S ribosomal RNA". It matches the Rfam family "Bacterial small subunit ribosomal RNA", at positions 523 to 796 of the family's 1533-position model. The record is from RNAcentral.
CUACGGAGGGUGCAAGCGUUAAUCGGAAUGACUGGGCGUAAAGCGCGCGUAGGCGGAUAUUUAAGUCUCAUGUGAAAGCCCUGGGCUCAACCUGGGAACUGCAUGGGAUACUGGGUAUCUAGAAUACAGUAGAGGGUAGUGGAAUUUCAGGUGUAGCGGUGUAAUGCGUAGAGAUCUGAAGGAACAUCAGUGGCGAAGGCGACUACCUGGACUGAUAUUGACGCUGAGGUGCGAAAGCGUGGGGAGCAAACGGGAUUAGAAACCCUAGUAGUCC